GACAGAGGAUGCAAGCGUUAUCCGGAAUGAUUGGGCGUAAAGCGUCUGUAGGUGGCUUUUUAAGUUCGCCGUCAAAUCCCAGGGCUCAACCCUGGACAGGUGGUGGAAACUACCAAGCUAGAGUACGGUAGGGGCAGAGGGAAUUUCCGGUGGAGCGAUGAAAUGCGUAGAGAUCGGAAGGAACACCGGUGGCGAAAGCGCUCUGCUAGGCCGCAACUGACACUGAGGGACGAAAGCUAGGGGAGCGAAUGGG
This 253-nucleotide ribosomal RNA is filed under the name uncultured bacterium. RNAcentral's name for it is "partial 16S ribosomal RNA". It matches the Rfam family "Bacterial small subunit ribosomal RNA", at positions 524 to 776 of the family's 1533-position model. The record is from RNAcentral.